GUGCUCGCUUUGGCAGCACAUAUACUAAAAUUGCAACAUAUACUAAAAUUAGAGAAGUUCAG
RNAcentral lists this small nuclear RNA (62 nucleotides) under Cervus elaphus hippelaphus. Lineage: Eukaryota; Metazoa; Chordata; Mammalia; Artiodactyla; Cervidae. The record is from RNAcentral.